CCCAGACAGCCAGGAUGUUGGCUUAGUAGCAGCCAUCAUUUAUAGAAAGCGUAAUAGCUCACUGGUCGAGUCGGCCUGCGCGGAAGAUGUAACGGGGCUAAACCAUGCACCGAAGCUGCGGCAGCGACACUGUGUGUUGUUGGGUAGGGGAGCGAUCUGUAAGCCUGUGAAGGUGUGUCGUGAGGCAUGCUGGAGGUAUCAGAAGUGCGUAUGCUGACAUAAGUAACGAUAAAGCGGGUGAAAAGCCCGCUCGCCGGAAGACCAAGGGUUCCUGUCCAACGUUAAUCGGGGCAGGGUGAGUCGACCCCUAAGGCGAGGCCGAAAGGCGUAGUCGAUGGGAAACGGGUUAAUAUUCCCGUACUUGGUGUUACAGCGAAGGGGGGACGGAGAAGGCUAUGUUGGCCGGGCGACGGUUGU
RNAcentral lists this ribosomal RNA (417 nucleotides) under Salmonella enterica subsp. enterica serovar Enteritidis. RNAcentral describes it as "bacterial LSU rRNA". It matches the Rfam family "Bacterial large subunit ribosomal RNA", at positions 1084 to 1505 of the family's 2925-position model. The record is from RNAcentral. Lineage: Bacteria; Pseudomonadati; Pseudomonadota; Gammaproteobacteria; Enterobacterales; Enterobacteriaceae.